Molecule: long non-coding RNA, 648 nt
Organism: Melospiza melodia melodia
Lineage: Eukaryota; Metazoa; Chordata; Aves; Passeriformes; Passerellidae
Exons: 4
Source: RefSeq, a predicted model, not a curated record
UCCUGUGGGCCGUGGCACCCUGGCCUGUGUCAGGAAUAGUGCGGCCAGAAGGAGUUGGGAAAGGAUCAGAUCCUGUGUCCAGUUCUGUGCCCUGCAGUGCAAAAAGGACAUGGAGGCUCUGGAGCGAAUCCAGAGAAUACCUACAGAGCUGGUGAAGGGUCUUGGUGCACAAGUCCUGUGAGGAGCACUGAGGGAGCUGGAGGUGCUUAGCCUGGAGAAAAGGAGGCUCAGGGGGACGUUGUCGUGGACGUUGUCCUAGACGGUAUCCAGUGUGCAUUUGAGUUUGCAUGGUUCUGCACUUGGAAGUCAGCGCACAAGGCCAUAAAGGGAAGGUGGCUUGUGACAAACUAAGAAAAGUCUGGCAAAAAAAUCAGAAAUAAAAUUUAUCCCAACUGAUGUCAGCAGAUGGACAAAAUGUUGCCAAAGGUGUGGCAGCAGAGGGAGGAAAUGCAGCUGGAUGUCCAACUCUGUGCCUGAUGAUAUUUGCCAGUUAGUGUGUGUUAACUCUGUGUCACGUUCCUUCUGACAUGGUGUGAUCUGGAGGUAAUCACAGCAAUUGCUGAGCUGUGAGCCACCAUGAUAAAUGAUUCUGAAGGAGAGAGAUGAAAGCCACCUUCCCUGUGCUUCCCAUCACUUGCUAAUAAUCUU